RNAcentral lists this long non-coding RNA (211 nucleotides) under Monodelphis domestica (gray short-tailed opossum). RNAcentral's name for it is "lncRNA (ENSMODG00000034753.2)". The record is from RNAcentral. Lineage: Eukaryota; Metazoa; Chordata; Mammalia; Didelphimorphia; Didelphidae.
GCAACAGCUUUGUGUUCUUAGAAAUAAUUACCUAUGUUGGUCCUCCGAGGUAACACACCCUGCCCACCCCUCGCCACGUUCCCACUCUAGAAGGGCAGCAAGACUUCUCCCGUGGUGAUAAAUGAUGACAAGGUGGACAACGGAGGAACGUGAAACCAGAAGACACCUCCAAGCUGUUUUAUGGAAAGUCAAUAUGGCCACUUGUACCUCC